AGCGAACGUUAGCGGCGGGCCUAACACAUGCAAGUCGAACGCGAAAGGUCUUCGGGACUGAGUAGAGUGGCGCACGGGUGAGUAACACGUAGGUAAUCUACCCGUUUGGCGGGGGAUAAACGUUCCGAAAGGAGCGCUAAUACCGCAUAAGACCACGUGGUCUCCGGACCGAGUGGGAAAAGGUGGCCUCUUCUUGAAAGCUACCACCGAAGGAUGAGCCUGCGUCCCAUCAGCUAGUUGGUAAGGUAAUGGCUUACCAAGGCGAAGACGGGUAGCUGGUUUGAGAGAAUGAUCAGCCACACUGGCACUGGAACACGGGGCCAGACUCCUACGGGAGGCCAGCAGUGAGGAAUAUUGGGCAAUGGGCGAAAGCCUGACCCAGCCACGCCGCGUGAGUGAUGAAGGCCCUCGGGUCGUAAAGCUCUGUGGAGAGGGACGAAAACCCUGGUUUCAAAUAGGCUCCAGGCUUGACGGUACUCUUUAGCAAGCACCGGCUAACUCUGUGCCAGCAGCCGACGG
RNAcentral lists this ribosomal RNA (519 nucleotides) under uncultured bacterium. Its description in RNAcentral is "bacterial SSU rRNA". It matches the Rfam family "Bacterial small subunit ribosomal RNA", at positions 29 to 520 of the family's 1533-position model. The record is from RNAcentral.